This 1151-nucleotide ribosomal RNA is filed under the name Klebsiella sp. RNAcentral's name for it is "bacterial SSU rRNA". The record is from RNAcentral. Lineage: Bacteria; Pseudomonadati; Pseudomonadota; Gammaproteobacteria; Enterobacterales; Enterobacteriaceae.
CAUGCAAGUCGAGCGGUAGCACAGAGAGCUUGCUCUCGGGUGACGAGCGGCGGACGGGUGAGUAAUGUCUGGGAAACUGCCUGAUGGAGGGGGAUAACUACUGGAAACGGUAGCUAAUACCGCAUAACGUCGCAAGACCAAAGUGGGGGACCUUCGGGCCUCAUGCCAUCAGAUGUGCCCAGAUGGGAUUAGCUAGUAGGUGGGGUAAUGGCUCACCUAGGCGACGAUCCCUAGCUGGUCUGAGAGGAUGACCAGCCACACUGGAACUGAGACACGGUCCAGACUCCUACGGGAGGCAGCAGUGGGGAAUAUUGCACAAUGGGCGCAAGCCUGAUGCAGCCAUGCCGCGUGUAUGAAGAAGGCCUUCGGGUUGUAAAGUACUUUCAGCGAGGAGGAAGGCGUUAAGGUUAAUAACCUURGYGAUUGACGUUACUCGCAGAAGAAGCACCGGCUAACUCCGUGCCAGCAGCCGCGGUAAUACGGAGGGUGCAAGCGUUAAUCGGAAUUACUGGGCGUAAAGCGCACGCAGGCGGUCUGUCAAGUCGGAUGUGAAAUCCCCGGGCUCAACCUGGGAACUGCAUUCGAAACUGGCAGGCUAGAGUCUUGUAGAGGGGGGUAGAAUUCCAGGUGUAGCGGUGAAAUGCGUAGAGAUCUGGAGGAAUACCGGUGGCGAAGGCGGCCCCCUGGACAAAGACUGACGCUCAGGUGCGAAAGCGUGGGGAGCAAACAGGAUUAGAUACCCUGGUAGUCCACGCCGUAAACGAUGUCGACUUGGAGGUUGUGCCCUUGAGGCGUGGCUUCCGGAGCUAACGCGUUAAGUCGACCGCCUGGGGAGUACGGCCGCAAGGUUAAAACUCAAAUGAAUUGACGGGGGCCCGCACAAGCGGUGGAGCAUGUGGUUUAAUUCGAUGCAACGCGAAGAACCUUACCUACUCUUGACAUCCAGAGAACUUAGCAGAGAUGCUUUGGUGCCUUCGGGAACUCUGAGACAGGUGCUGCAUGGCUGUCGUCAGCUCGUGUUGUGAAAUGUUGGGUUAAGUCCCGCAACGAGCGCAACCCUUAUCCUUUGUUGCCAGCGAUUCGGUCGGGAACUCAAAGGAGACUGCCAGUGAUAAACUGGAGGAAGGUGGGGAUGACGUCAAGUCAUCAUG